CACCAAACACUCAACCAUUCAGCCAUAUUUCAUCAAACACCUGCAAGGACUCCUCAACAAACCAAAGUAACAGCUAAAACACCAUGAAGAGAACACAUCUAGAUUGAACUCUUAAACCAAUCAUGUUGCUUAUUGACCCCUCCUCUUACCAAUGCAAGCAACCAUCGAGAUCAACAGGAGAAAAGGGAGAGGUGGUGUACAGCCCUUGGUCGGUGGCC
Molecule: long non-coding RNA, 218 nt
Filed under: Elaeis guineensis (African oil palm)
Lineage: Eukaryota; Viridiplantae; Streptophyta; Magnoliopsida; Arecales; Arecaceae
Description: long non-coding RNA (EGUI_LNC079122)
Source: RNAcentral